AGUAUGGUAGCUCAAUCUGGUCAGAGCAUCAGGCUAAUAACCUGAAGGUUGUUGGUUCAAGCCCGGCUCAUACUA
This is a non-coding RNA of Seminavis robusta, 75 nucleotides long. Lineage: Eukaryota; Bacillariophyta; Bacillariophyceae; Naviculales; Naviculaceae. The record is from the annotation of a GenBank genome assembly.